This is a long non-coding RNA of Mugil cephalus (flathead mullet), 314 nucleotides long. RefSeq lists it as uncharacterized. NCBI's taxonomy places the organism in Eukaryota, Metazoa, Chordata, Actinopteri, Mugiliformes, Mugilidae. The record is from RefSeq and is a predicted model, not a curated record. The transcript is spliced from 4 exons.
UCAAGGAGUGUCGUUGCUGUGGAGUCGGGGUGCCUGGUCUGGUGUAGUUCCCAGGAAAAGACACCACACAUUAUGGGCGCAGACACUGACCAAGAAAACCCACUAAAGAAGUUACACUCUGAUGGCGGAGGAUCAAUUUCCUCAGCACGCCCCCGUCAGUGUCUGAUGAAGGACAGCAGAUUCUAGGUUUCUAAAGGACAGUUUGUCGAGGGCUGAAAGUGAAGACUUAUGAAACCAAUACUGCAUGCGUGCUACAGAUACACAUACAUAUGCUGAGAACAGACAGCUCAUGAGCAACACAUUGUGUGCUGCAG